GAUGUAAAAACUCAAAGCGCAAAGCCAGCUUCAGGUCCCUGUCAAUCACCAAACUGCUCUUCCAAGUAUAUUUUCCAGGAAGAAGGAAGCCCGUGGCGGGGGGGGUGGGUGGAAAAGGGAGGGUAGUGGAGACGACGAGAGAAGGAAGAAAGAAAAAGCACGACGGAAUAUAAGGAAGGAAAGAUAGAGAGAAUGGGAGAAUGACAGCUACCCAGGCAGAGAGGAAGAACAGGAAACGCAGUCCCUGGGGAGGGGUGGGGGGAACAAAAACAACAAAAAACCUCGAAUAAACUACAAAUUCC
RNAcentral lists this long non-coding RNA (302 nucleotides) under Pan troglodytes (chimpanzee). RNAcentral describes it as "long non-coding RNA NONPTRT006043". Lineage: Eukaryota; Metazoa; Chordata; Mammalia; Primates; Hominidae. The record is from RNAcentral.